GCCGCACCUCCGGCGCGGAAAGUUGCCCGCCGCCUGCCGCGCGGCCCCUCCCCUCCGCCGGCUGUUUGCGUUUAAAAUCCGCCCCCAUCUUUAAAACGGGGCUCCGGGUCUCUGCGGCCGCCGCCGCUCCCGGCCUCCCUUCCCCCACCCCUCGCGUCCACGCGGGCCCCGGCGCCCCCCGGGGCGGACGGACACCCCAAGUCUGCGUCUGAUCGGCCGCGGGCUUCCCGCGCCGGCGGCGAGGAGCCGCUCAGAUUCGUCUGUGCGCGCUGCUGCGUCGGUUUCGGCCCCAGACCCUCGCCGCCCGCCGGCGGGCUUCUGCUCCCCGGGCCGGGGCCCGAGCGCCGGCGCUGGGCCGCCGCGUACGCGGACGGAAGGAAUGUGGCCUCUCUCGGCCGAGUCCGCCCUUCUGCAGUCCGCGCCGCGCGCGUUCUAGGACUUCCCCGGGCAGCCCUGCAGCUCAGCCCUUGGGUCUCUCUUACUCAGCUACACCGCCUCCCCUUCCCAUCCAGCCUGUGCUGUGCGAAGUCACUUCAGUCAUGUCUGACUCUGUGGACUAUACCUCCGAAGCUCCUCUGUCCAUGGAAUUCUCCAGGCAAGAAUACCGGAGUAGGUUGCCAUGCCCUCCUCCAGAGAACAGUUCUGACCCAGGGAUCAAACCCAUGUCUUUUAUGUCUCCUGCAUUGGCAGGUGGGUUCUUUACCAUUAGCUCCACCUGGAAAGCCCUUCUUCCAGGCUUGAGGCUUUAAAUACCAUCUUUACCCUGAGAAAGAACUCUAAACCUGUAGUUCAAGUCCAAAGCUUUUUCCUGAGCUUCAGACUCUUAGCCGACAACUUCUUAG
Molecule: long non-coding RNA, 842 nt
Organism: Bos taurus (domestic cattle)
Lineage: Eukaryota; Metazoa; Chordata; Mammalia; Artiodactyla; Bovidae
Source: Ensembl